UCCUGCUUGGUUUGAAAAUUGCAAUAAAUGAAAAAAGAAGUCUGUUCCAUUAUGACUAAACCAGUGAACUCACUCUUGAGAAAAUAUGCUAUUUGUCCUUCACAAAGGAUGCCCCCUUGAUGCCAAGUAGGUUAAUUAAUGCAGAGACGGAAAAUUCUAUUCCAUUAGGAGGAUAUUUUCUCGGGACUAUCAGGAUCUAGCAAUUUGGAGAAUAUGAUUUCAGCUACGAGCUUUCCUAGUUUUGCCCUGGGACCCAGGUAUACAGAUGGCCUAAGAGCCACAGUGUGGACAUGAUCUUGGAGAGGCAGCAGUGAGUGGUGGCAUGAAGUGAGAUCUUAAUUCCCUGCCCAGGAAUUGAACCUGGGCAGCCUGGAUGAAAACCAGGAAUCCUAGCCACCACACCCCCGGCUCUUGCCCCCAGUGAAAAAUGCAUUGCUCACGGAGGCAAAAACUGUAAAAACAGGUACAAAGUUUAUUAUUAGAGACAUAGCACACAGAGAAACAGUUUGUUUAGUUAAGACAGAAGCAAGGCAGAGAUGCACAUCUGGAUAGAGAGGGUGUGGGCGUCCCCCCUAAUGAGGAGAAGCGCAGUAAAAAGGUGGUUAAAUCAUUUAUACAGGGCAGUUCUUCUGGGUCUUUGUGUACCUUUGGCCAAUUAUCUGGUUUCUUCUUCUACACCUGACCUGCCCUAGGACCCUCCCCAAUAUGCCUGUGCAACUUUUUUCCAAGAUGGAUUUCAGCCCAGAGGCCUAUGAGACGGCCUUAGCAUCACACAUUCUGGGGUGGUGUGCCCUCCUUUUUGACCCCCAAGGAACCUUUCUGCACAUGUGCAGUGUCUCCCUUGCCCCAAGGAUGGGAAAUAUAUGACCUCUUGAUCCUUUACUCAAACAAGGGUUAGCCCCUCUCUAUUCCUGCCAUGACUGUUAUCUUAAGGUGUUCACGGGAGACAAAGCCUGGGUAUUUACCCUGUUUCUGCAGUUACUUCCAUUUCAGAGAGCAAACAGGAGGCUGAUUUUAAAUGUCUAAACUGAAGCCCAUCUAUCUCCUGUCUCAGCAAAUGUAAACAGGAGACUAAGUUGUAAGUGUCGGAAGCCCACUUUUUCCUGCCCCAUGAAAUGUAAACGGGAGGUUAGUUGUGAAUGCCUGGCUUGGGGCCCCUCUAUCUCCUGCCUCAGACACACACCCAGUCAGGGGUCUCAGGGCACCCAGGACCCUGGGAUAAGCAUUUCCCCCCGUAUUUCUACUCUGAAGUACUAAAUUGAUUGCUUGGUUCACAGUCAACCCAGGGUGCAGGGGGCCAAGGGAAAUGUAGUCUUUCUCCCUCUUACUGUCUUCCUGGUCUUUAGCGGCUUCCUCUGCGCAUGUGCAACGUAGGGACCGCCUCACCCCUUCCGCUUUCAUGUGCCUCGAGGUGAGAAGAACCUGGAGCUUUGGUCGUGGCAGGUGCAGGGCUUGCGUGGCCUGAGGCUUCGCUGAGAGCGGCGUUCUUGUGGCGGGGGCAGAAGCGGGACGUCGCGGGACGUCUCGGGCCGCCCUCUGGCCCAGGCGGGACUGCAGUGCCCGGGUCUGGCCUGGACCUCCGCCCUGGGAAGCUGAAUCUUCAGUCCUCUGCACCUUCCUAAACGCUACAGAAGAUGAACAUAUCUGAGAUUCGUUAAGUGAGAUGAGAGGAAGGCUCAUCUUUGGUCUAUCUUAUACUGAACCAAGGGCCAGCCAUGACCAAGCACCUCCACCUAAGGGAGCAGCACCAAUUUCGUCAGGACUUUCUGCCAGCUGAAUCUUCAGUCCUCUGCACCUUCCUAAACGCUACAGAAGAUGAACAUAUCUGAGAUUCGUUAAGUGAGAUGAGAGGAAGGCUCAUCUUUGGUCUAUCUUAUACUGAACCAAGGGCCAGCCAUGACCAAGCACCUCCACCUAAGGGAGCAGCACCAAUUUCGUCAGGACUUUCUGCCAGGUGCAGGGCUUGCGUGGCCUGAGGCUUCGCUGAGAGCGGCGUUCUUGUGGCGGGGGCAGAAGCGGGACGUCGCGGGACGUCUCGGGCCGCCCUCUGGCCCAGGCGGGACUGCAGUGCCCGGGUCUGGCCUGGACCUCCGCCCUGGGAAGCUGAAUCUUCAGUCCUCUGCACCUUCCUAAACGCUACAGAAGAUGAACAUAUCUGAGAUUCGUUAAGUGAGAUGAGAGGAAGGCUCAUCUUUGGUCUAUCUUAUACUGAACCAAGGGCCAGCCAUGACCAAGCACCUCCACCUAAGGGAGCAGCACCAAUUUCGUCAGGACUUUCUGCCAGGUAGGGACAUACUCCCUUGCUCUCUUGCUGUGACUCCAUCUAAUAGGCUCCCCACACCAACCCUGAACACAAACCCAAGAGCAGAGUAGAGGGAUUUUUAUUUCUUUUUCCCUGCUGUCAAUCCGGCAUCUGGAAGAACAGGUGUCACACGACAGGUUAUAAGAAUUACAAAGAAUAAAUAAUAAAUACACAGAAAAGAUAUUUUAUAUAUAUUAUGUAUAUAGUAUAUGAUUAUAUAUACUUUAUCUCUAUUAUUAAUCUUUAUGUUAAAGUCUAUUAUGACUUAUUUAAUAUAGCUCCACCAGACUUUUUGUGCUCAUUAUGUUUAAUUCAUUAUAAGGUGUAUAGGUUUGCUAGGUCUGCCAUAACAACAAAGUGUAGACUGGGUGUUUAAGCAAGAGAAAUGUAUUUUCUUACAGUUUGAGAGGCUAGAAGUUCAUAAUCAAGGUGUCAGUAAAUUGGUUUCUUCUGUGGCAUCUCUGCUUGGCUUGCAGAUGGUCUCAAGCCAAGGAGAGAUGAAAUAUAUUUGACAUAUAACAUUGAAAUAUAUUUGACAUAUUUUAAUUGAAAUAUAUUUCAAUUUUAAUUGAAAUAUAUGACAUAUAAUAUUGUGUAAAUUUAAGGUGUAAAACAUGUUGAUUUGGUAGAUUUAGGUAUCGUAAUAUGAUUGCCAUUGUAGUGACAAUUAGCACCUUGAUCAUGUCAUGUAAUUAUCAUUUCUUUUUGGUGAUUGUGAUAAUUAAGAUCUAGUCUUUUAGCAAGUUUGAUGACUAUAAUACAAUACUGUUGUUUAUAUUCACUAUAUCGUGCUUUAGAUCUCUGGGACUUUUUUAGUGUUGCCCUCUUAUUGUGUCUUCAUAUGGUCUUUCUUCUGUAUGUAUGCAUUCCUUGUGUCUCCUUGUGUAGCCAAAGCUUCUUAUAAGAACACCAGGUAGAAUGGAUUAGAGCUUACCUUCACAGCCUCAUUUUAAUGUAAUUACUUCUUGGAAGGCUCUAACUCUGAAUAUAGUUACAUUCUAAGGUACUCAGGGUUAGGGCUUCAACAUAUUGAUUUGAGGGGUUGGGCACAAUUCAGCCCAUAAUAGAAGUACAAAUAAUGAUAAAUGUUGAAAAUCAGUGGCUUGUCAUUAUGUGCAUGAAUAUCCAAGAUCAUUAACAUUAAAACUAGUUGAAAAAAUAAAUCAGAGAAUAAAGCAAAAAACAUUGUUACUAUAUCAAAACCAACAACUUUCCCAUGUGCAAAUAAAUACAUAUUAUACCAUAUGUGAAAAUGUUUCAUUUACUAUAAGAAUCCAAUUGAAAGAACUGAAUCAAUGUUUGCCUAUAUGUAUAUCUAUAUAUAGAAAACUAUUAAACUACAUAAGGGAUCUAAAGGAGAGUGAGAUAUACAGUGGCCAGAAGUAUAUUAUUGGCAGACUGGAUAAUGUCAUUAUUUUACCAUUGUAACAAUAUUAUGUCUCACUUCAAUUCAUAAGUAUGAUGCUAAUCAGAACCUCAGCAUGAUUAUUUUUAGAGAUUUGGCCCUAGAAAGUUAUACUGUUUCUCUUGAUGAAGAGCUUGUGAGAAUAGCUAGGGAAAUUCUGAAAAUUGAGUCAAAAGAUAUGAUUAUCAUAGUUAAAUCUAUAAGAAAGCUAAAGUAAUGAACACAUUGUGUAAAUGGUGCAUUGAUAGAUAGACCAAGGGAACAACAACAACAAA
Molecule: long non-coding RNA, 3982 nt
Organism: Balaenoptera acutorostrata (minke whale)
Lineage: Eukaryota; Metazoa; Chordata; Mammalia; Artiodactyla; Balaenopteridae
Exons: 8
Source: RefSeq, a predicted model, not a curated record